RNAcentral lists this ribosomal RNA (253 nucleotides) under uncultured bacterium. Its description in RNAcentral is "partial 16S ribosomal RNA". It matches the Rfam family "Bacterial small subunit ribosomal RNA", at positions 524 to 776 of the family's 1533-position model. The record is from RNAcentral.
UACGUAGGGGGCGAGCGUUACCCGGAUUCACUGGGUGUAAAGGGAGCGUAGACGGCCAAGCAAGCCAGGGGUGAAAGCCCGGGGCCCAACCCCGGGACUGCCCUUGGAACUGCAUGGCUGGAGUGCGGGAGGGGCAGGCGGAAUUCCUGGUGUAGCGGUGAAAUGCGUAGAUAUCAGGAGGAACACCGGCGGCGAAGGCGGCCUGCUGGACUGCGACUGACGUUGAGGCUCGAAAGCGUGGGGAGCGAACAGG